Molecule: unclassified non-coding RNA, 5236 nt
Filed under: Leishmania donovani
Lineage: Eukaryota; Euglenozoa; Kinetoplastea; Trypanosomatida; Trypanosomatidae
Description: gene:LdHU3.22.1360(CDS-product:Galactose_oxidase_ central_domain/Kelch_motif_containing_protein_putative)
Source: RNAcentral
GAAGCCGUACGUUGCGUGAGAGGAGACAUGCACGGGUGCACGCGCCUUCUGCCCAUCCCGCCCGCAUUCAACCCACUCUGCCGCAGCUGCAGCGCUCUAUACAAAUCUGUUGCUGCACUAGACUUGAGCAAACAACCUUUCUCCUCGAGGCCUGCACAUCCAUACACGCACGGAGAGCGCACCAUACGCCAUAAUUCUCCAACGUCACCAGCGAUACAGCGACGGCAAUGCAGGCCAACAAGUAUCUGCAUCCCACGGAUGACGAGGUCGAUGCGCGCGACAUUGCGGCUCUCUUAGCGGAGCUGAAGGAUGUCGGCGGCGCCGUCACGGGUAGCAGCGACGCCGCGAACGCGCGUCCGUACAGUGAGGCCUCGGUGCGCCGCGGUGUUGUUGGCGGGACGAGUGGGCUCAAGGAUCCGCAGCGCAGUGCCCAUGCGGCACCUAGCCUGCAGCACCGUGUCAGCGCCGGCGAGGGAGGCGCAAGUAGCAGCACAACGCCACACCAUCGUCUAAGUGUCGCGAGCCGCCCGGGAAAUCGUCCAAGCUCAACUGCCGCCGCAUCGAGAUCGCUAGUCCCCAUCAGCUUUUCCACGUACAGCGCAGCCGAUACAGGGCUCACAGAUGCGCAGCUUAGCUCGCAACGCCUGUUCGCCACACCGCUUGGCGUGCGACUGAAACCCCUGGGCGACAGCAACGACGCAGCCGCCCCUGCCGCGUUGCCACCACUGCUGUCUUCGUCACCGCGAAAGGCCGCCCUGCCUGCAUCUCCCUCCCGUGCCAACGCCGCUGCGGAUGCGGGGGCGCCGGACCCGCCGCUGACGUCUCAGUCACCUCUCCCUCCACUGCCCAGCCUAGGAGCUCGCGGCUUGCGAGCUGGCGGCAGCAGUGCUAAGGGGGUCGGCGAGAAUCUGAGCGAAGGGGCCCCCUCGUCCGUUCUCGCUGAUGUGCUCCCAUGGCCCACGUCAAGCGAUGCAUCCGCCGGCGGCAAUGAGAACCGGUUGUCGAAGGCCGUCCCUGCCGCUUCUGCUGAUGCUGCCGUUGCCACAGCGGUGUCGUCGAUGCCCGAGGCACCGCGCGAGGUGAACUUUCUGCCGAUCAUGUGUGCGCGAUAUCUCCGCCCGGUCGGGCUCACACCAACCGCGCGGUUGGGCCACACCCUCACCCCUGUCACGCCUGACACGAUGCUUCUCUUCGGCGGCCUCGAUCUCCAUGGCGAGGAGACGACGUCGCUCAUGGCCUUCAGCACGACCACCAUUUCGUGGGAGCCUCUCUAUACCUUGUCAGAGGCCCCGGUGGCGCGCCACAGUCACGCCGCCUGCGCCUAUGAUGGGCGGUACCUCGUCAUCAGCGGUGGCGUCGCGCAGCACGGCGGCGCAGUGCUGAACGACAUGCACGUUUACGAUCUGCAUACUCACCAUUGGCGGUGUGUGUGGGACGGGCAGCGGGACGGGUUGGCGGAGAACCGCAACGAACCCGGGCCGCGCUUCGGGCAUACGAUGGUGCUGCAGGACGAUCGGCUUUACCUGUACGGAGGCAAAACAACGAGCGAGUCACGCCAGCGCACACGGCGCGGCUCCGGCACCGGGAGCGCGGUAGCCGGGACGACGGCAGCUGCGACACUUGCGAACGGCUCCGACGUGUAUGUAUUCUCGCUGAGCAGCUACCGGUGGCGACGGCGAGUGCGGGCAGCGAAGGAGCACCGCCCUUCUCCUCCUGGGCAGGCGGCGGCAGCUCCGAGCACAGAGAAGCCAGGCGAAGACGCAAAUGCGGAGGGUCAGCAGACGGUGCGCACCCGCCCUGCCACGCGCGCCUACCACGCUGCGUGCAUCAGAGGUAACACCAUGUACAUUAACGGCGGCUCAGGGGCGUCGGGGGUGCUCACCGAUACGUGGUCACUGCAGCUGCACACGGGAGAGUGGCACUGCGUGCACCGAGGCGGCACCGCCGACGCCGUUCCACGCGAGAAGCACGCCAUCUUUGUGUGCGGUGAGGCACUGUUGCUCGUCGGCGGCUGCAGCGGUGGUAGUUUGAACGAGCGCAUGGCCGGCAAGUUCACGCAUUUUGCCGUGGUGCUGCCGCUGGUCGGCAACGCGGCCGGCGCACCGUGUUGGAUUCCGGUGGCGAUGGGCAACAUGUCCAUUGUGCAGCCGCACAAGAAGAGCUUUGCGGCUGCGCUGACGGGCGGCUUCGUCUACGUUUUCGGCGGUGUGUGUGGGGCGGAGCCGGCAACGAACUCGAUGGUGCGCUUCCUGGCUGCUGAUGGCUACGUCUCGGAGAACGAUCAGGCCGCGGUGGCCACCAGCGGCGGCGACGGAGGUGCUCAGCGGCUCCGACUGAAGCUUCAGCAGUUGCGGGAACAGCAACGAGGCACACCGUUUGACUGCUACGUGUAUGCUGGCACGUACGGCAGCGCAGAUGUGGCGUCUGCCGUUGCGCAGCUGCAAGCUCCGUGGGCUGCAGGGGUGGCCAGAGAGGACGGUGGGCUGCAGCAACAGCAGCAGCAGAUGAAGACUGGGGAGGAGGAUGUGCCGAUAGCUGGUCUGCACCGCGCCAUUCUGCAUCAGCGUGCGCCGCUCCUCCGCAAGCAGCUCGAGGGUUGUCGCUCGGAGCUGUACAGCGGCGGAAGUAGUGCUGCCUUGACCACCGCCAGCGCACCAGGACAGCAGCAGCAGCAGAACCGCACUUCGUCAGGCAGGGGCCGCGAUGAGGUGGACGCGCUUUUGCAGCAGGUUUCCGAGAGACAGCGUGGCGGGGGCGCAAGGGCAGUCGACCCAUCGUCUGUCGGCAAGGACAGCACUGCACCGGCAGGCGCCUCGGCUGGCGGGGCAGGCGGUUUGCCCAUAUACUUCACGAACGGCACGCCGCGCGUCCCUGGCUUGGCACAGCCGCUCACGGCCGAUGCCCUGCAGUGUCUCGUCGACUACGUCUACUGGGGUGGCCUGAAGGCCAAGUACCGCGUGCUGCUGGAGGAGAAGGACGAGGACGGUGGCGACGGUGCCGAGGCGAAUAGUAACCGUCCUGCUGCGAGCGCCAGUGCGAGCAGCUUCACGAUCGAGUACCGAGCGCGUCUGGUGCGGACGCUGGAGAUCGUUAAGGCAGCCGGUGAGGCCUACGAGCUAGCUCCCCUGGUCGCUCUCUGCGCUAGUCUACUGGCGGGUGAUCGGGAGCAGGUGCGGCUGGCACGGCAGCGGAGCACCGAGCAGUUGCGCAGCGACAUGGCCGCGCUUCUCAGCGCGCCCUCCAUUGGUGCCAACACUACUAUGCUUGUCGUGGACCCGCAUACGCAGGCGCAAUCCGUGCAUGUGCUGCAUGCCUGCAUCUUACUGGCUGCUAGCGAUCUCUUCACUGAACUGCUGCGGCCGCUCUACCGCGCCGUAAGCGGCGGGCCCGCGAGCGGUGGCACGUUGUCCAACCGUGUCGGCCCACUGGCAGCGAAACUGAGCACGGCAGUCGCCGCCUCGCCGUUUGCGCUCCUCACGAGCUCGUCGAAGAGGACUGUACUGAUCGGGCCAGUGCCCUUGCCGCUCUUGGCUGUGCAGCCCAUCCUGCGCUACCUCUACACACAGCAGCUUCAGGCGCCGUCCGAGACCGCGUUCGAGGUGAUGCUCGGCGCGCAUCAGCUUGGCCUCACAGAGCUGCAGGCACUCUGCGAGGCCGCCGUGGCUCGAGAGGUGGUGAACUACCAGACCUGCUGCUCCCUCUACCACCUGGCGCGCAAGUACCAGGCAUCGCUGCUCGAGGAAAUCGCGCUCUUGACGGCCGUUUCGGGCUUCGCGACGGUGCGCAACACCUCUGCCUACCAGCUGUUGUCCGAUGAAGAGAAGCAGAACAUCGACGCCGUGGCAACGGAGCUGGGCUCGUCGACUUGGGUGCCGCCGCCGCAGCCAAUGACGGAGAUGAAGUCGAGGGCCAUCUACAACUUCCGCUGGGACGCCUCAGCGCCGUCGACACUGUAGCGGCGGUGUGCGCCGGCGCGCGUGCGCAUGAGCAUGAAAGGAGGAGGCGGGGUAUGUGGUUGUUGGCCAUGGCCCGGAUUGCCGCGUCCCCGUGCGCGCGGUUAAGUUGGUGUUCCUCUCCGCCCUCUUGUUCUUGUUCUGUGCCCUCCACAGUGCCGUCUCACUCUCGCACAGGAGGUGGUGACGGUGGUGGAUGGGAUUGUGUGGAAAUAGUUUUGAUCUCCCUGUUAUGCCCACCUCGCCGCCGCCGCCGCCCCCAAACCUGACUCACCGGCACUGGCUUGACUUGCACGGGGGCCGUGAAGUGAGCUCAUGGGCUCAUCUUCGGCCUCCUUCCCCGCCUGCCCGCCCACACACACACACUCUUCCGUUGUUGUUUAGGUAUUUUUUUUCUGGUACUUGCUGCUGUCUUCUCCUCGCUUCUUUGCCCUUUGCUGGUGCACCCCCACACCCCUCUUCCCUGUAUCCGUCGCCGGUGCUUGUCUCUUAUCCGUUGUUCGCCUCCCCUGCUCGAGCGUCGAAGGAGGGAGGGAGGGGGGACCCCUUGUGUCUUCUUGUGCUUGUGAUGUCCUCGAGAGGGAGAAGAUGCUCUUUACAUGUGUCUCAAGGUGGCGGUGCUGGGGUUAGGUUCUCCGCUCCUCUCCUCCCCACGCUUUUGCCAUCAUCCCCCUCCCCCCUCCCCGCCUGCCUUCUGCUCGCUAGUCUUUCGUGUCAGUGCUAUCCAUGAUGUACAUGCGCCGCGUUGUUCCAUGUUUCUCUCCCUCCCCUCCCUUCUCUUUAUCAUCAUCAUCCUCUUGCUCUGCCCUCGUGUUGUUUGGCUCACUGCUUCCCUCCUCCCAAUAACGGGAGCAGUCCGUCUGUGAUGGCGACACACACACACACGCACGUAGAGACGCAACGCACUCGCUGACCUGCGCCCGCACAUCUCCUCUAUGUAUGUGUAUGCCCAGCCCUCUCUCCUCCUCCUCCCCUCCCUACCCCCUUUCUCUGCCUUUCACAUACAGGAUUGCCCGCACUGAAAGCCAUGACCACGUCGCUCGUAGAACUGUCAACAGGAACCAAAUAGAGCCUUCACGCACCGUUGUAGACGGGCUUCACCUCCCUCUCGUGCUCUAACCUCUUCGUCUUCUCGGCGGCCCACCCAAACCUCUCCUGCACCACGGAUCGCGUGACGUGUUCGUCUACUCUCCCCCCUUCCCCUCCAAAGAAAAAAAAACGAGUUAGUUUGUCUUUGCACAGCUGGCACCUCCGCUGCAUCCGUAUCGCGGCUGCUCGUUGGA